CCUACGGGAGGCAGCAGUAAGGAAUAUUGGUCAAUGGAGGCAACUCUGAACCAGCCAUGCCGCGUGCAGGAAGACAGCCCUCUGGGUCGUAAACUGCUUUUAUUCGGGAAUAAACCUCAUUACGUGUAAUGAGCUGAAUGUACCGAAGGAAUAAGGAUCGGCUAACUCCGUGCCAGCAGCCGCGGUAAUACGGAGGAUCCAAGCGUUAUCCGGAUUUAUUGGGUUUAAAGGGUGCGUAGGCGGCUUUUUAAGUCAGGGGUGAAAGACGGUAGCUCCACUAUCGCAGUGCCCUUGAUACUGAAGAGCUUGAAUGGACUAGAGGUAGGCGGAAUGUGACAAGUAGCGGUGAAAUGCAUAGAUAUGUCACAGAACACCGAUUGCGAAGGCAGCUUACUAUGGUUUUAUUGACGCUGAGGCACGAAAGCGUGGGGAUCAAACAGGAUUAGAUACCCUGGUAGUCCACGCCCUAAACGAUGAAUACUCGCUGUUAGCGAUACACAGUUAGCGGCUAAGCGAAAGCGUUAAGUAUUCCACCUGGGGAGUACGGUCGCAAGNUGAACUGAAGAUUGACGCGUGAGAGNGCGACGACGACGACGAGGGAGGAGG
RNAcentral lists this ribosomal RNA (606 nucleotides) under uncultured bacterium. RNAcentral describes it as "bacterial SSU rRNA". It matches the Rfam family "Bacterial small subunit ribosomal RNA", at positions 338 to 944 of the family's 1533-position model. The record is from RNAcentral.